ACUCACUACAGUGCCGCAUGAAAGUUAAGGAGCUCAGACAAGCCUACCAGAAAACCAAAGAAGCAAACAGAAGGUCCGGGGCAGAGCCGCAGACACGCUGCUUCUAUGUUGAGCUGCAAGCAAUUCUAGGGGGGUCCGCCCCCACUACCCCACUCCUGUCCGUGGAUUCCAAGGAGGGGGUAAUCUCAGCCAUGGCUGAGGAUUCUGUGGAUGGGGAAGAGGAGGACGACGACGACGAGCUUGCAGACAGCACAUAGCAGUCCGUUCUCCCCAAUGGGCAGGAUCUUUUCUGAGCCUGACUGAAGUACCCUCCCAAGGCAUUAUCCCAGACCAUGAAGCCACGGAAGGGACUUCUGCUGCAAAUUUUUCAAGUCUCCUUCCUCCGUCUCGAAGGCUCUCUCAGAUAAGGUGGCGG
Non-coding RNA from Chelonoidis abingdonii (Abingdon island giant tortoise), 415 nucleotides. The record is from RefSeq and is a predicted model, not a curated record. Lineage: Eukaryota; Metazoa; Chordata; Testudines; Testudinidae.